GCACUGCUGAGGAGUUCCACAAUAGGACGAAAGAGCCGUCCAGUGC
Molecule: non-coding RNA, 46 nt
Filed under: Schistosoma margrebowiei
Lineage: Eukaryota; Metazoa; Platyhelminthes; Trematoda; Strigeidida; Schistosomatidae
Source: RNAcentral